MicroRNA precursor from Oryza sativa Indica Group (long-grained rice), 198 nucleotides. It matches the Rfam family "MIR812 microRNA precursor family". The record is from Rfam. NCBI's taxonomy places the organism in Eukaryota, Viridiplantae, Streptophyta, Magnoliopsida, Poales, Poaceae.
UUCAAUUGCAGUUGCGGAUUUCCGUGUCGAACAUUUGAUCAUUGGUCUUAUUUGAUAUUUUCUUAUAAUUAGUAUUUUUAUUGUUAUUAGAUGAUAUAAUAUGAAUAGUGUUAACUUAUUUUUAAAACUUUUUUCAUAAAUUUUUAAAUAAUAUAGACACGCAAACAUUGGAUAUGGAAACUCACAGCUGCGCUUUAA